Long non-coding RNA from Harpegnathos saltator (Jerdon's jumping ant), 331 nucleotides. RefSeq lists it as uncharacterized. The transcript has 2 exons. The record is from RefSeq and is a predicted model, not a curated record. NCBI's taxonomy places the organism in Eukaryota, Metazoa, Arthropoda, Insecta, Hymenoptera, Formicidae.
UGUUUGUGUGUUUUAUUAUAUUUUAAUAGUGCUAUAGAGUGUCUGAUGUAAUGUAUAUGGGGCAUUCCAUAUGAAGUGAUAUACCCAAAUUUUCAAAGUUGUACGAUUAUGCUGAAAUUUGCACAAAUUGUAGUCCUAUCACAACUAAGAUUUUUGGCCAAAUUGUUUGACUCACGACCAACGGGUUGUCUAGUAGCAGAGGUUUGAAGUUUUAGCAUUUGGGCCGUUGUGUCCAACUUCAAACGCCGGACCGAGCGCGUCACGCACGGUGCAGCUCGGCCGCUGUUGCAAGUGCCACGGAUGAUCCGAUCAGUUCUAUUGCUUGUGGCCA